UACGUAGGGUGCAAGCGUUGUCCGGAAUUAUUGGGCGUAAAGAGCUCGUAGGCGGUUCGUCGCGUCGGGAGUGAAAACUCAGGGCUUAACCCUGAGCCUGCUUCCGAUACGGGCAGACUAGAGGUAUGCAGGGGAGAACGGAAUUCCUGGUGUAGCGGUGAAAUGCGCAGAUAUCAGGAGGAACACCGGUGGCGAAGGCGGUUCUCUGGGCAUUACCUGACGCUGAGGAGCGAAAGUGUGGGGAGCGAACAGG
This 253-nucleotide ribosomal RNA is filed under the name uncultured bacterium. RNAcentral's name for it is "partial 16S ribosomal RNA". It matches the Rfam family "Bacterial small subunit ribosomal RNA", at positions 524 to 776 of the family's 1533-position model. The record is from RNAcentral.